RNAcentral lists this ribosomal RNA (859 nucleotides) under uncultured bacterium. RNAcentral describes it as "bacterial SSU rRNA". It matches the Rfam family "Bacterial small subunit ribosomal RNA", at positions 644 to 1504 of the family's 1533-position model. The record is from RNAcentral.
GAGUACGAUAGAGGGAGGUAGAAUUCAUAGUGUAGCGGUGGAAUGCGUAGAUAUUAUGAAGAAUACCAGUGGCGAAGGCGGCCUCCUGGAUCUGUACUGACACUGAGGUGCGAAAGCGUGGGUAGCGAACAGGAUUAGAUACCCUGGUAGUCCACGCCGUAAACGAUGACAACUAGCUGUUGGGAGGCAAUGCCUUUCAGUGGCGCAGCUAACGUUUUAAGUUGCCCGCCUGGGGAGUACGGCCGCAAGGCUAAAACUCAAAUGAAUUGACGGGGACCCGCACAAGCGGUGGAGCAUGUGGUUUAAUUCGAUGCAACGCGAAAAACCUUACCUACUCUUGACAUACUUGGAGGCUCUUGUAAUGAGAGCGUGCCUUUUGGAACCAAGAUACAGGUGCUGCAUGGCUGUCGUCAGCUCGUGUCGUGAGAUGUUCCGUUAAGUCGGAUAACGAGCGCAACCCUUACCCUUAUUUGCCAGCGAUUCGGUCGGGAACUAUAAGGGGACUGCCGGUGAUAAACCGGAGGAAGGUGAGGACGACGUCAAGUCAUCAUGGCCCUUACGAGUAGGGCUACACACGUGCUACAAUGGGGAAUACAGACGGACGCUAAGCCGCGAGGUGGUGCUAAUCCUAAAAAGUUCUUCGUAGUCCGGAUUGGAGUCUGCAACUCGACUCCAUGAAGUCGGAAUCGCGAGUAAUCGCGGAUCAGCAUGCCGCGGUGAAUACGUUCUCGGGUCUUGUACACACCGCCCGUCACACCAUGGAAGUGGAUUGCACCAGAAGUAGAUAGUCUAACCUUAGGGAGGGCGUUUACCACGGUGUGCUUCAUGACUGGGGUGAAGUCGUAACAAGGUAACCGUA